CACCGCGGUUAUACGGGGAACCCAAGUUGACAACCGCCGGCGUAAAGAGUGGUUAAGAAAAAAAUUAAGCUAAAGUCGAACGGCCUCAAAGCUGUUAUAAGCUUAUGGAAGCACGAAGCCCAAUAACGAAAGUGACUUUAACUCCUUCUGACUCCACGAAAGCUGGGACA
RNAcentral lists this ribosomal RNA (170 nucleotides) under Novaculops woodi (Hawaiian sandy). RNAcentral's name for it is "partial 12S ribosomal RNA". The record is from RNAcentral. Lineage: Eukaryota; Metazoa; Chordata; Actinopteri; Labriformes; Labridae.